Molecule: long non-coding RNA, 931 nt
Filed under: Carica papaya (papaya)
Lineage: Eukaryota; Viridiplantae; Streptophyta; Magnoliopsida; Brassicales; Caricaceae
Description: long non-coding RNA (CPAP_LNC012148)
Source: RNAcentral
AGCCUUUGGCGAGCCAGGUGUCGCAUUUUCAGUUUCCCCUACAACAUGUUGUCGACUAUUCCUUGCAUCCAUAGUGGGGAACGACUGCAUGUAAAUGGAGGCCUAGGAUCGGCUGGCAAGUUUCCUUAAAAUAACUUGUUCCUAACCGAAUAACUUCUUCAUUCCUUCUACUGGCAAACAAACAAAAAAAGUUUGGCAAGUUGAGAGCGAUUAGAAGUUCUGGUGGUGGGGACGAUUAGGAAAACAGAAUUGGUGGGCUUUCGAGUGACGUUGUGUGUAGGAAUUGGUUUUCUCCUUGUGGUAAGUCUUCCAUUCUCCUAAAAUAUGUUCUUCCUUUUCUCCUUAGACAUAUAGCCAGCCUUUACAAAUUUUAGAAAGUCCCAAAAUUCGUGCAGAAUGCAUCAACCGAAGCCAUUUUUCUGUAAAUUUCCGGAAGUUGCAGACUGAGUAGGUUGCUACCGUCCUGUUUUUUUUUUUUUCCUCUCUUCCAUUUAAUUAGUUUAGCGAACCUUAUGUAAUCUGGAAUCAUAAUAGGACUUUAGAAACCUGUUAGAAAUCGGUUAAACAAAUUUAAAACUUUAAAAAUCUGGAAAUUAGUUCCAACUUUCUGCAACAGCUUCAUCGUGUUGCAGAACCUUCCUUCCGUCUUUAAAACCAGACGAUUUCCUUGUGUCUUCUAGCUUAUAUUGACGACUCCUUUGAAGUAAAAUCGAUGAUAAUUUGGUUAAUACAAAUAUGGAUUUAUAGAGUGCGAUUCAUUCGGUAAAUCUCUUUACAAAUUAAAAACAAUUUGGCAUUUUAAAAUGGAUUGUGUGAGUGGGUACUGUUAAGAAUUAAUUUUUAAAUUAGAAUAUAAUUAAUUAGUUUGUUAAUAGUUGAACUUCAUAAAUUAGAGUUUCUAUAUAUUAUUUGGUUUGGUAGUAGUUGUGCG